RNAcentral lists this ribosomal RNA (269 nucleotides) under uncultured prokaryote. RNAcentral's name for it is "partial 16S ribosomal RNA". It matches the Rfam family "Bacterial small subunit ribosomal RNA", at positions 524 to 792 of the family's 1533-position model. The record is from RNAcentral.
UACGUAAGUGGCGAGCGUUAUCCGGAAUCACUGGGCGUAAAGCGUUCGUAGGCGGCGCGGCUAGUUGGGUUUAAAAGCCCGGGGCUCAACUCCGGAUCUGGACCCAAUACUGCCGUGCUUGAGCGGAUCAGAGGGCAGUGGAAUUCCCGGUGUAGCGGUAAUAUGCGUAGAGAUCGGGAGGAACACCAGUGGCGAAGGCGGCUGCCUGGGGUCUUGCUGACGCUGAGGAACGAAAGCCAGGGGAGCAAACGGGAUUAGAUACCCCUGUA